AUGAUUCUUCUAGCCUAGAACUGUCGAGCAUUGGGGUUGGACUCGACAGUGGGCGAACUUCGGGACCUGGUUAGGUCAUACAACCCAGUGGUGGUAUUUCUUUUAGAGACAAAAAAGACGGCUAGAGCGAUGGAGAGGCUCAAAUGGAGUGUGGGGUUUACGCAUGGUGUAGCAAUGGACUGUAAUGGAAAAAGUGGUGGACUAGCGCUGAGGUGGAGAGACCACGUG
This 228-nucleotide ribosomal RNA is filed under the name Triticum aestivum (bread wheat). Its description in RNAcentral is "partial small subunit ribosomal RNA". Lineage: Eukaryota; Viridiplantae; Streptophyta; Magnoliopsida; Poales; Poaceae. The record is from RNAcentral.